CAGCCGCCGCGGUAAUACCGGCGGCCCGAGUGGCGGUCACUAUUAUUGGGCUUAAAGCGUCCGUAGCCGGGUUGGGAAGUCCUCCGGGAAAUCUGGCCGCUUAACGGUCAGAAUGCCGGAGGAUACUCCCAGCCUAGGGAGCGGGGGAGGCCGAGGGGAUUCCCGGAGUAGGGGUGCAAUCCUAUAAUCCCGGGAGGACCACCUGUGGCGAAGGCGCUCGGCUGGAACGCGUCCGACGGUGAGGGACGAAGGCCAGGGGAGCAAACCGGAUUAGAUACCCGGGUAGUCCUGGCUGUAAACGAUGCGGACUUUGUGUCGGACAAGCUAUGAGCUUGUCCGGUGCCGGAGGGAAACCGUUAAGUCCGCCGCCUGGGGAGUACGGCCGCAAGGCUGAAACUUAAAGGAAUUGGCGGG
RNAcentral lists this ribosomal RNA (414 nucleotides) under uncultured microorganism. Its description in RNAcentral is "bacterial SSU rRNA". It matches the Rfam family "Archaeal small subunit ribosomal RNA", at positions 459 to 872 of the family's 1478-position model. The record is from RNAcentral.